GAUGAACGCUGGCGGCGUGCUUAACACAUGCAAGUCGAACGGAAAGGCCCAAGCUUGCUUGGGUACUCGAGUGGCGAACGGGUGAGUAACACGUGGGUGAUCUGCCCUGCACUUCGGGAUAAGACUGGGAAACUGGGUCUAAUACCGGAUAGGACCACAUUUUGGAUGGUGUGGUGGAAAGUUUUUCGGUGUGGGAUGAGCUCGCGGCCUAUCAGCUUGUUGGUGGGGUAAUGGCCUACCAAGGCGUCGACGGGUAGCCGGCCUGAGAGGGUGUACGGCCACAUUGGGACUGAGAUACGGACCAGACUCCUACGGGAGGCAGCAGUGGGGAAUAUUGCACAAUGGGCGCAAGCCUGAUGCAGCGACGCCGCGUGGGGGAUGACGGCCUUCGGGUUGUAAACUCCUUUCGCUAGGGACGAAGCGCAAGUGACGGUACCUGGAGAAGAAGCACCGGCUAACUACGUG
This 465-nucleotide ribosomal RNA is filed under the name uncultured bacterium. RNAcentral's name for it is "partial 16S ribosomal RNA". It matches the Rfam family "Bacterial small subunit ribosomal RNA", at positions 28 to 507 of the family's 1533-position model. The record is from RNAcentral.